RNAcentral lists this unclassified non-coding RNA (401 nucleotides) under soil metagenome. Its description in RNAcentral is "partial contains 5.8S ribosomal RNA, internal transcribed spacer 2, and large subunit ribosomal RNA". The stretch from base 1 to 121 matches the Rfam family "5.8S ribosomal RNA", at positions 35 to 154 of the family's 154-position model. The record is from RNAcentral.
GAUGAAGAACGCAGUGAAAUGCGAUAAGUAAUGUGAAUUGCAGAAUUCAGUGAAUCAUCGAAUCUUUGAACGCACCUUGCGCCCUUUGGCCAUUCCGAAGGGCAUGCCUGUUUGAGUAUCAUGAACACCUCAACUCUCAUGGCUCGCCAUGAUGAGCUUGGAUUUGGGGGUCUUGCUGGCCUGUGGUCGGCUCCUCUCAAAUGGAUCAGCUUGCCAGUGUUUGGUGGCAUCACAGGUGUGAUAACUAUCUGCGCUUGUGGUUUUCCAUCAGAUAACCUUCAGUGAUGGAGGUUCGCUGGAGCUCAUAAACGUCUCCCCUAAGCGGGGACAGCCCUUUGAAUGUUUGAUCUCAAAUCAGGUAGGACUACCCGCUGAACUUAAGCAUAUCAAUAAGCGGAGGA